Molecule: ribosomal RNA, 489 nt
Filed under: uncultured bacterium
Lineage: Bacteria
Description: partial 16S ribosomal RNA
Rfam family: Bacterial small subunit ribosomal RNA
Source: RNAcentral
AUUGAACGCUGGCGGCAGGCCUAACACAUGCAAGUCGAACGGUAACAGGAAGAAGCUUGCUUCUUUGCUGACGAGUGGCGGACGGGUGAGUAAUGUCUGGGAAACUGCCUGAUGGAGGGGGAUAACUACUGGAAACGGUAGCUAAUACCGCAUAACGUCGCAAGACCAAAAAGGGGGACCUUCGGGCCUCUUGCCAUCGGAUGUGCCCAGAUGGGAUUAGCUAGUAGGUGGGGUAACGGCUCACCUAGGCGACGAUCCCUAGCUGGUCUGAGAGGAUGACCAGCCACACUGGAACUGAGCCACGGUCCAGACUCCUACGGGAGGCAGCAGGGGGGAAUAUUGCACAAUGGGCGCAAGCCUGAUGCAGCCAUGCCGCGUGUAUGAAGAAGGCCUGCGGGUUGUAAAGUACUUUCAGCGGGAGGAAGGGAGUAAAGUUAAUACCUUGGCUCAUUGACGUUACCCGCAGAAGAAGCACCGGCUAACUCCGUG